Molecule: ribosomal RNA, 575 nt
Filed under: Bacillus sp. EGU45
Lineage: Bacteria; Bacillati; Bacillota; Bacilli; Caryophanales; Bacillaceae
Description: bacterial SSU rRNA
Rfam family: Bacterial small subunit ribosomal RNA
Source: RNAcentral
UAAUGCAAGUCGAGCGAAUGGAUUAAGAGCUUGCUCUUAUGAAGUUAGCGGCGGACGGGUGAGUAACACGUGGGUAACCUGCCCAUAAGACUGGGAUAACUCCGGGAAACCGGGGCUAAUACCGGAUAACAUUUUGAACCGCAUGGUUCGAAAUUGAAAGGCGGCUUCGGCUGUCACUUAUGGAUGGACCCGCGUCGCAUUAGCUAGUUGGUGAGGUAACGGCUCACCAAGGCAACGAUGCGUAGCCGACCUGAGAGGGUGAUCGGCCACACUGGGACUGAGACACGGCCCAGACUCCUACGGGAGGCAGCAGUAGGGAAUCUUCCGCAAUGGACGAAAGUCUGACGGAGCAACGCCGCGUGAGUGAUGAAGGCUUUCGGGUCGUAAAACUCUGUUGUUAGGGAAGAACAAGUGCUAGUUGAAUAAGCUGGCACCUUGACGGUACCUAACCAGAAAGCCACGGCUAACUACGUGCCAGCAGCCGCGGUAAUACGUAGGUGGCAAGCGUUAUCCGGAAUUAUUGGGCGUAAAGCGCGCGCAGGUGGUUUCUUAAGUCUGAUGUGAAAGCCCACGGC